This 731-nucleotide ribosomal RNA is filed under the name uncultured Staphylococcus sp. RNAcentral describes it as "bacterial SSU rRNA". It matches the Rfam family "Bacterial small subunit ribosomal RNA", at positions 60 to 773 of the family's 1533-position model. The record is from RNAcentral. Lineage: Bacteria; Bacillati; Bacillota; Bacilli; Caryophanales; Staphylococcaceae.
AGUCGAGCGAACGGACGAGAAGCUUGCUUCUCUGAUGUUAGCGGCGGACGGGUGAGUAACACGUGGAUAACCUACCUAUAAGACUGGGAUAACUUCGGGAAACCGGAGCUAAUACCGGAUAAUAUUUUGAACCGCAUGGUUCAAAAGUGAAAGACGGUCUUGCUGUCACUUAUAGAUGGAUCCGCGCUGCAUUAGCUAGUUGGUAAGGUAACGGCUUACCAAGGCAACGAUGCAUAGCCGACCUGAGAGGGUGAUCGGCCACACUGGAACUGAGACACGGUCCAGACUCCUACGGGAGGCAGCAGUAGGGAAUCUUCCGCAAUGGGCGAAAGCCUGACGGAGCAACGCCGCGUGGGUGAUGAAGGUCUUCGGAUCGUAAAACUCUGUUAUUAGGGAAGAACAUAUGUGUAAGUAACUGUGCACAUCUUGACGGUACCUAAUCAGAAAGCCACGGCUAACUACGUGCCAGCAGCCGCGGUAAUACGUAGGUGGCAAGCGUUAUCCGGAAUUAUUGGGCGUAAGGCGCGCGUAGGCGGUUUUUUAAGUCUGAUGUGAAAGCCCACGGCUCAACCGUGGAGGGUCAUUGGAAACUGGAAAACUUGAGUGCAGAAGAGGAAAGUGGAAUUCCAUGUGUAGCGGUGAAAUGCGCAGAGAUAUGGAGGAACACCAGUGGCGAAGGCGACUUUCUGGUCUGUAACUGACGCUGAUGUGCGAAAGCGUGGGGAUCAAAC